This 460-nucleotide ribosomal RNA is filed under the name uncultured bacterium. RNAcentral describes it as "partial 16S ribosomal RNA". It matches the Rfam family "Bacterial small subunit ribosomal RNA", at positions 338 to 795 of the family's 1533-position model. The record is from RNAcentral.
CCUACGGGGGGCUGCAGUGAGGAAUAUUGGUCAAUGGGCGAGAGCCUGAACCAGCCAAGUCGCGUGAAGGAUGACGGCCCUACGGGUUGUAAACUUCUUGUGUCAGGGAGCAAUUGGGUCCACGCGUGGGCUUAUCGAGAGUAACUGAAGAAAAAGCAUGGGCUAACUCCGUGCCAGCAGACGCGGUAAUACGGAGGAGGCGAGCGUUAUCCGGAUUUAGUGGGUUAAAAGGGUGCGUAGGGAGAAUUUCAAGUCAGCUGUAAAAAUUCGGGGCUCAACCCCGUCGUGCCGUUGAAACUGAUGUUCUUGAGUGGGCGAGAAGUAUGCUGAAUGCGUGGUGUAGCGGUGAAAUGCAUAGAUAUCACGCAGAACUCCGAUUGCGAAGGCAGCAUACCGGCGCCCAACUGACGCUGAAGCACGAAAGCGUGGGUAUCGAACAGGAUUAGAUACCCGGGUAGUC